This 497-nucleotide ribosomal RNA is filed under the name uncultured bacterium. Its description in RNAcentral is "partial 16S ribosomal RNA". It matches the Rfam family "Bacterial small subunit ribosomal RNA", at positions 28 to 507 of the family's 1533-position model. The record is from RNAcentral.
GAUGAACGCUGGCGGCGUGCCUAAUACAUGCAAGUCGAGCGGACGGACGAGAAGCUUGCUUCUCUGAUGUUAGCGGCGGACGGGCGAGUAACACGUGGAUAACCUACCUAUAAGACUGGGAUAACUUCGGGAAACCGGAGCUAAUACCGGAUGAUAUUUUGAACCGCAUGGUUCAAAAGUGAAAGACGGUCUUGCUGUCACUUAUAGAUGGAUCCGCGCUGCAUUAGCUAGUUGGUAAGGUAACGGCUUACCAAGGCAACGAUGCAUAGCCGACCUGAGAGGGUGAUCGGCCACACUGGAACUGAGACACGGUCCAGACUCCUACGGGAGGCAGCAGUAGGGAAUCUUCCGCAAUGGGCGAAAGCCUGACGGAGCAACGCCGCGUGAGUGAUGAAGGUCUUCGGAUCGUAAAACUCUGUUAUUAGGGAAGAACAUAUGUGUAAGUAACUGUGCACAUCUUGACGGUACCUAAUCAGAAAGCCACGGCUAACUACGUG